AGUGAACGCUGGCGGUAGGCCUAACACAUGCAAGUCGAACGGCAGCACAGUAAGAGCUUGCUCUUACGGGUGGCGAGUGGCGGACGGGUGAGGAAUACAUCGGAAUCUACUUUUUCGUGGGGGAUAACGUAGGGAAACUUACGCUAAUACCGCAUACGAUCUACGGGUGAAAGCAGGGGAUCUUCGGACCUUGCGCGAUUGAAUGAGCCGAGGUCGGAUUAGCUAGUUGGCGGGGUAAAGGCCCACCAAGGCGACGAUCCGUAGCUGGUCUGAGAGGAUGAUCAGCCACACUGGAACUGAGACACGGUCCAGACUCCUACGGGAGGCAGCAGUGGGGAAUAUUGGACAAUGGGCGCAAGCCUGAUCCAGCCAUACCGCGUGGGUGAAGAAGGCCUUCGGGUUGUAAAGCCCUUUUGUUGGGAAAGAAAAGCAGCAGGUUAAUACCCCGCUGUUCUGACGGUACCCAAAGAAUAAGCACCGGCUAACUUCGUG
Molecule: ribosomal RNA, 492 nt
Filed under: uncultured bacterium
Lineage: Bacteria
Description: partial 16S ribosomal RNA
Rfam family: Bacterial small subunit ribosomal RNA
Source: RNAcentral